This 63-nucleotide transfer RNA is filed under the name Metacrangonyx goulmimensis. RNAcentral's name for it is "transfer RNA Isoleucine". Lineage: Eukaryota; Metazoa; Arthropoda; Malacostraca; Amphipoda; Metacrangonyctidae. The record is from RNAcentral.
AGUAGUAUAAUCUAAUAAAGAUAUUUCAUUGAUGGAGAAAAUAUAGAGUUAUCCUUACUACUA